Lupinus angustifolius (narrow-leaved blue lupine) is the source of this 303-nucleotide non-coding RNA. It matches the Rfam family "Plant signal recognition particle RNA". The record is from Rfam. Lineage: Eukaryota; Viridiplantae; Streptophyta; Magnoliopsida; Fabales; Fabaceae.
GCCGAGUUGGGUAACUCUAGCUUGUAACCCAAGUGGGGGCAUCAAGGUGAUGGAACAUGGCUAUGAUUUGUCUAGGUUGGGGUGGUUGUUGCACCAUGUUGGCUUGCCCGUUCCAAGUUGAGAGUUGAGUCAUGGUGCUUAGGUGAAGGCUUAGGUGUCAUGACUCCUAGACUAGAGGGCAUAGCGUAAGGCUGGUUUAACAGAGCAGCGAACACCUCUGGCUCUUGACAGUGGAAGGAUUACAUGCUACAGCAUUGCCAUCCCACAAUGCCUGGUGAUCCAAGCCCUUGAACCAUCAUUUUU